Molecule: long non-coding RNA, 791 nt
Filed under: Volvox carteri
Lineage: Eukaryota; Viridiplantae; Chlorophyta; Chlorophyceae; Chlamydomonadales; Volvocaceae
Description: long non-coding RNA (VCAR_LNC003602)
Source: RNAcentral
UUCGGAUCAGAGUGUUCGUUAUUGUAUGCGAUGGCGAAGCCUGCGGCCGGGUGAGUGAAGGGCAGCUGAUUUUGGGAGGCGUCCGGAGGGCCGCGCGUGAUAGUGGAUAUGGUCCCUGCAACGUUUUUGUGUGUGUAGCUAUGACGGGAGAUGUGUUGGAUAGCGGUGUAAGUAGCGGCGGCGGUAGCGGCAAGCAGACAUGGGGGAGAAAUGGCUACGUGGUUUGGUGCUGCGGCGUCGUACCACGGCCGUACACGAGGACGGCUUACCUGCGAGGACUGUGUGCUCGUUAGGCUGCGGUUUUCCGGUUUUUGGAAGGGCGAUGUAUGCUGAGACCACUGCCGCAGCAAGUGCGGCAGCCAUGUCGUCGUGAUCACCGCUAUUUUCAGGCAUCACAGUUUCCAUAGAAGAUUAAGUAAACCGAUUUUUUAGUAGCAUGAGUAAAUCGUGAAAUCGUGCAAACACUGUAACACACAUCACGGCAACACUUUAGUUCUGAGCAUGUCGUGGCACCGUACGCAUUUAUUGCAUAUCUGAGAUGACCCGCGAGAAUUUCGGCGCUAUUUAUUUGCAGCCUGCGUGAUGCUGCUGCACAAAAUGACAGGGCUGUUGGCCUGCUGUUAAAGGCUGUGUCGGAGUAUUCACAUGGUCCUGAAUACUCCGCCUCUGCUUCAGCCUCUGCAGGCUACGGGGCAGUCCGGCUUUAGACGUCUGACAUUCGUGCCGGCGACCAAGCCUGAUGCCCAUUCUGCGCCUACCGGCGUUGACCUGAUUCCGUUGAACGAGGUACC